Molecule: ribosomal RNA, 397 nt
Filed under: uncultured bacterium
Lineage: Bacteria
Description: partial 16S ribosomal RNA
Rfam family: Bacterial small subunit ribosomal RNA
Source: RNAcentral
AUACGUAGGGGGCAAGCGUUAUCCGGAAUUACUGGGUGUAAAGGGAGCGCAGACGGCUAAGCAAGUCUGAUGUGAAAGUCAUGGGCUCAACCCAUGGAUUGCAUUGGAAACUGCGAAGCUGGAGUGUCGGAGGGGUAAGCGGAAUUCCUGGUGUAGCGGUGAAAUGCGUAGAUAUCAGGAGGAACACCGGUGGCGAAGGCGGCUUACUGGACGAUCACUGACGUUGAGGCUCGAAAGCGUGGGGAGCAAACAGGAUUAGAUACCCUGGUAGUCCACGCGGUAAACGAUGAAUACCAGGUGUCGGGGGGCGAAGCUCUUCGGUGCCGAAAGCAAACGCAGUAAGUAUUCCACCUGGGGAGUACGUUCGCAAGAAUGAAACUCAAAUGAAUUGACGGGG